RNAcentral lists this ribosomal RNA (598 nucleotides) under uncultured bacterium. Its description in RNAcentral is "bacterial SSU rRNA". It matches the Rfam family "Bacterial small subunit ribosomal RNA", at positions 8 to 616 of the family's 1533-position model. The record is from RNAcentral.
AGAGUUUGAUCCUGGCUCAGGAUGAACGCUGGCGGCGUGCCUAACACAUGCAAGUCGAACGGACUCAUAUUGAAACCUAGUGAUUUAUGAGUUAGUGGCGGACGGGUGAGUAACGCGUGGAAAACCUGCCGUAUACCGGGGGAUAACACUUAAAAAUAGGUGCUAAUACCGCAUAAGCGCACAGCUUCGCAUGAAGCAGUGUGAAAAACUCCGGUGGUAUAUGAUGGUUCCGCGUCUGAUUAGCUAGUUGGCGGGGUAACGGCCCACCAAGGCAGCGAUCAGUAGCCGGCCUGAGAGGGUGAACGGCCACAUUGGGACUGAGACACGGCCCAAACUCCUACGGGAGGCAGCAGUGGGGAACAUUGCACAAUGGGGGAAACCCUGAUGCAGCGACGCCGCGUGAGUGAAGAAUUAUUUCGGUACGUAAAGCUCUAUCAGCAGGGAAGAAAAUGACGGUACCUGACUAAGAAGCCCCGGCUAACUACGUGCCAGCAGCCCGCGGUAAUACGUAGGGGGCAAGCGUUAUCCGUAUUUACUGGGUGUAAAGGGAGCGUAGACGGCCCCUCAAUCUGGGAGUGUUGUGUCUGGUCCCCACCCC